UUCUACGGACUGAGCGUGCCCUGAAUGUGCCCAAUCUCAUCUGAUCUCGAAAGCUAAGCAGGGUCAGGCCUAGUUAAUACUUGGAUGGGAGACUGCCUGGGAAUACUGGGUGCUAUAGGCU
Mustela putorius furo (domestic ferret) is the source of this 121-nucleotide non-coding RNA. Lineage: Eukaryota; Metazoa; Chordata; Mammalia; Carnivora; Mustelidae. The record is from Rfam.